This 30-nucleotide non-coding RNA is filed under the name Rattus norvegicus (Norway rat). The record is from RNAcentral. Lineage: Eukaryota; Metazoa; Chordata; Mammalia; Rodentia; Muridae.
UGUUUGGGGCUGGAUUAAUUAUUGUGGGGU